AACGAACGCUGGCGGCAUGCCUAACACACGCAAGUCGAACGAUCCCUUCGGGGAUAGUGGCGCACGGGUGCGUAACGCGUGGGAACCUGCCCUUAGGUUCGGAAUAACUCAGAGAAAUUUGAGCUAAUACCGGAUAAUGUCUUCGGACCAAAGAUUUAUCGCCUUUGGAUGGGCCCGCGUUGGAUUAGCUAGUUGGUGGGGUAAAGGCCUACCAAGGCGACGAUCCAUAGCUGGUCUGAGAGGAUGAUCAGCCACACUGGGACUGAGACACGGCCCAGACUCCUACGGGAAGCAGCAGUGGGGAAUAUUGGACAAUGGGCGAAAGCCUGAUCCAGCAAUGCCGCGUGAGUGAUGAAGGCCUUAGGGUUGUAAAGCUCUUUUACCCGGGAUGAUAAUGACAGUACCGGGAGAAUAAGCCCCGGCUAACUCCGUG
RNAcentral lists this ribosomal RNA (433 nucleotides) under uncultured bacterium. Its description in RNAcentral is "partial 16S ribosomal RNA". It matches the Rfam family "Bacterial small subunit ribosomal RNA", at positions 29 to 507 of the family's 1533-position model. The record is from RNAcentral.